RNAcentral lists this long non-coding RNA (2169 nucleotides) under Gallus gallus (chicken). RNAcentral describes it as "lncRNA (ENSGALG00010003572.1)". The record is from RNAcentral. Lineage: Eukaryota; Metazoa; Chordata; Aves; Galliformes; Phasianidae.
GUGGUACAUAUUUGCAUCCUUAUGCAAGCUAACAACUAUUCCCUUUCUCAGACACUUUUGCUUUUUAUAGUCCUUUGCUUAUGUAUUACCAUCUCUUCUGUGAUUCUGGGCUGCAGUUCUCAUUUCCAUCUUUUUUUUUUUUCCCCUGUUGCUGUUCACCUUCCUACUUCGGUUAAUGACAUCAGCUGUUGCUAUUUCUGUGCUUCAAUAGACAUUGCUCACAUCUGAAUUGGUUGCUUUGGUUAGAGGCGAUAUUUUGUAUGUCAGAUCCCCAGAGCUGCGAGAGCAUCUUCCCCUCUCUCUCUUAAGGAACAUCUCCCCCCCUGCUUGUAUGCAAUGUGAAAAAGAGCCUGAGCAGGCAAGCCUCAGGGGCUAAUGCAUUAAGAUUCAUGGGUUUGAUAGCAGAUGUUUCUUCAUUCUUUCAGAACCUAUUUAUUUUCCCUAUGUGUGCUAUCUCUUACUUCCAAAAAGGAUCGCAUUUCAAGCUCUGGUCAAGUAACCCUUAUUUCAUAGGAAAAAUACUGACCAUUUUGCUCUUGUUCUUAGUGAGCAGCUGCCUAGUUACAAAUGACACACCUGGUAGCUGGGGAAGAAGGUGUUCUGCUGUGCCUGUUGCUCUGGGAGCUGAUGGGAUCAUGCACUGCUGGGGAAGGAGGAACAAAGCUAUCAGGUCACCUGUCUGCUUGCGGAUGAUGCUAACAAGAGACUCAGGAAAUUUUGCCAGAUGGAACUCUCAGAAAAACCAGCAGUUGUGGACAAGGGGCCUUCAGGCCUGAGUUGAGGUCUGCUCCUUUUACCAAGCCAAACCAGAAAGCCCCAGUUUCAGGACAGUCCAUAUGGCAGAGCUGGCUGGGACAUGAAAAGCCUGGUAAACUUGCUUCUCCAGUCCUCCAGAAGCCUACUUGAUAGGGUAUCAAGAAGUGGGUGUACAAGUAUAGAUGGGGACAACCUCUGAUGAGAUUAUGGCAAUUUUCAGGCAAAACUGAUUUUCUUUUUGAAGAACUGAGUGUGUGGAAAACAAAUGUUCUGCGCAAAAUGAAAGUAAAGUACUUUAUUCUCCAGCUGAGAACAUUCAGAGCCAAAGCAACUCAAAUCUGCUUCCCUAAAUUGCAGAUUUAUUACAUCUGAAGACACAAGAACUUUUGCUGCUGAUGAACAAGGCAAAUUUCAUGUAGCAAGAUCUAGCACCUUUUUAGCUUUUUCCUUGCAUGGCCUCUAAAAGCUUCCAUUUCUGCAAAUAGAAAGAUGCUGAGAUGAUUUUCCCCAGUGGUAAGGUAUGCCAGGAUAUGGUUACGUCAACUCAGUCUGAAAGAAAUGUUUGAACUUCCCCCUAGGAGAUUACCCAAUAAGGUGGUGAGCGACUGCAAGAGAAGAAAAAAGAAACAAGGAAGAGAAUUUAUGUUAGAGACACUGUCCUCCUGCUAAUGCCAAACUAGUGCUGUCAUCUUCCUUGGAGUAGGCUGACAAUUCCAAUUCGAUGGAUCUAGGAUAUUAGUACAAAACACAAAGAUGUAUUUCUCAUGUUUGUCUAGUGACUCUUCCCUAGACAGUGUUUGUGCAAGCUGUUUCUGGAAGAGAAGAUUAAAUGCAAAUCCUUGGAAUAAGUGUACUGAUUGCUGAGCUCUUCUGGUCAGCUAUCUAGGAUGUGGAAUACUAAAUGCAAUGACAACCAGCUUUUGCUGGCAGAAGAAAAGCCUGGUAAAGAAGCCUGGUAUUGACUUCAAUGACCACUCAGGAAACAAAGCUCCAAGUAAGAUGGCUGCAGGAGUUUAUUUUGACCCACACAUUAUGAAUGUUUUAAUAAAUAGCUAUGCUCUCAUAUAAACUCCUGUCUCCUCACCUUAAAGAUGAGCUCUGGCUUCUCACUUCUGCUCAAAGCAUAUCUGCAUCAUUUCUAUUACUUCCUUCAUUUUCUAAAUGUGAAAACCAGUCAUGCAAAUUGUUAUGGUGUCAAUUCCACACAAGCUUUCCUCUAGUUACUCCACUUCAUUCCACACAGGAUGAUAACUAUUAAAUCAAACUCUAUUUACUAGUCAUUACAUUGUAUCAUUACUUUCUAAAUUAUCUUAUAGACUUCUGAUUACCCCAUUAUGUACUGCAGAGGGAUAUCUCAAUUGGAGCAGGAAUGCUGGUGAUUCUAGGAGGCAAAACAGCAAGCCAGUUCCCAAG